Molecule: ribosomal RNA, 61 nt
Filed under: Bipolaris maydis (southern corn leaf blight pathogen)
Lineage: Eukaryota; Fungi; Ascomycota; Dothideomycetes; Pleosporales; Pleosporaceae
Description: partial 28S ribosomal RNA
Source: RNAcentral
UUGACCUCGGAUCAGGUAGGGAUACCCGCUGAACUUAAGCAUAUCAAUAACCGGGAGGAAA